This is an RNA transcript of Carica papaya (papaya), 3056 nucleotides long. It is a transcript of the gene named Tetratricopeptide repeat (TPR)-like superfamily protein, with no coding region annotated. The record is from RefSeq and is a predicted model, not a curated record. NCBI's taxonomy places the organism in Eukaryota, Viridiplantae, Streptophyta, Magnoliopsida, Brassicales, Caricaceae.
UCCUAUUUAUCAAUUUUUAAGCCCAAGUUCGGCUCGUCCAACAUUUGCUUGGACUGAUGAGCUCUCAAGAUAACAUUCAGCCUAACUUUACCCUAAUUCUCACCCCAUGAGCCGGACAGAUUGCUUAGUUGGUGAAUUAAAGAGGGAAGAGAAAACAAAACAGCUGAAGAGAAAGCAGGUAAACACGCUCGCAUGCACAAUGCGCAUAUGGCCGACUGAUGGCACCUACAUCGAUUGGAGGUUCUUCAGUCGUUUGGUGAAACUGGACGGAGAAGGUGAAGAAGAAGCCGACCGGGAAGUGAAGCAGAGAAUCCACGCCUGAGGUAUCCUAUGUAUCUCCUGUAACAGCCAAGCUCGAGAACAGAGAUGAAAGGGUAAAUAAAACGAAACUGAGUGAAUGAGCUCGAAAGAGGGGAAUGGGGAAAGUGGGAAAAUCGCUAGGGAAAGCAGAUAAAAUGGAGAGAGCUUUGAGAGAGGGAGUUAAGUGAAAUCGAGAAAAAAAAAAAGAAAAGCUUACUGGGGAGGGGUUCUGGCUAACACUAACAAAUAGAUAGAUAGAUAGAUAGAUUGAUAGAGAAUUAGUAUAAUUCGGGAAUUAGAGAGUCAAAAGCAGCAAAUAGGAGCAGUUUAGCUAUUUGAUGGGUUUAUGUAAAGAGAAUGAUAAGAGUGAAGCUAUUUGAUGGGUUUACUCAAAUCCCUCGCCAGACACAGAAGCUCCGCAUAUUUCUUUCUGUUGCCUCUGGAUCAUCCAACUUCACCUCUGAAAUUGAAACUGAAACAGAAAGAAUUGCGAGAAUAAUCAACGACCACCCAUAUCCUCAUCAACCACUACAACCUACACUCCUUAGGGAGGUUCCUGCAGUUGCGCUCUCAACAACCCUUCUGGAGAAUGUCCUGGGUCGCCUGUUUGCAGCGCAUUCUAAUGGCCUUAAGGCUUUGGAGUUUUUCAAAUAUUUCCUCCAAAAUGCUUGCUGUGGUCCAAGCUCAGAUGCUUUUGAGAAGGCACUUCAUAUCCUCACACGAAUGAGAUACUUUGAUCGAGCUUGGGAGUUGAUGGUGGAAAUGCGAGAAAAACACCCUUCCUUGCUUACCCUGAAAUCAAUGAGCAUCUUGCUGUCUAAAAUUGCUAAGUUUCAAUCAUAUGAAGAAACCCUUGAGGCAUUUUUACGAAUGGAAAAACAAGUGUUUGUUGGGAGGAAGUUUGGUACUGAUGAGUUCAAUGUGCUUCUUCGAGCAUUUUGCACUGAGAGAGAUAUGAAGGAGGCAAAGUCUGUGUUCCAAAAGAUGCAUUCUCGAUUUUCUCCAAAUACCAAGACCAUGAAUUUACUACUUUUGGGAUUCAAGGAAUCAGGUGAUAUUACUGCAAUGGAGCUCUUCUACCAUGAUAUGGUUCGGAGAGGUUUCAAGGCAAAUACCUUAACUUAUAAUAUCAGAAUCGAUGCUUAUUGCAAGAAAGGAUGUUUUGGGGAUGCUUUGAGACUUGUUGAAGAGAUGGAUCGUGUCAAUUGCUUCCCUACUUUGGAAACCAUCACGACCUUGAUUCAUGGGGCAGGGGUUGCUCGGAACAUACCAAAGGCACGGCAGUUAUUUGAAGAAAUGUUUCAAAGAAAUUUGCAGCCUGAUAUUGGAGCUUAUAAUGCAUUAAUCAGUGCACUUAUUAGGUCCAAAGAUCUUCAGGCUGCAAUCAGAUUGAUGGAAGAGAUGGAAGAGAAGAAUAUUGGGCAUGAUAAUAUGACAUAUCAUACCAUGUUUUUAGGAAUGAUGAAAUCAAGUGGCCUUGAGGGUGUUUGCAAGCUCUACAAUAGAAUGAUUGAAAGAAACUUUGUGCCUAAAGCACGCACAGUGGUCAUGUUAAUGAAAUUCUUCUGUCAAAAUGGCAGGCUGGAUUUGGGCCUUAAUUUGUGGUCAUUCCUAGUGGAGAAAGGGCAUUGUCCCCAUGGUCAUUCACUGGAUCUUUUGGUAACGGGAUUAUGCUCUCGGCGAAGGUUGCAAGAGGCUUUUGAAUGCUCAAAGCAAAUGUUGGAGAGAGGAAGGCAAAUGAGUGAUGUGGCAUAUCAAAUGUUGGAGAGAGUUCUACUGCAGUCUAAUGAGACAGAAAAACUGGAGGAGCUCAACAGGAUCAGAAGAAAACUGCAAGAUAUUUUACCUCCAUCAACAUCAAGAUGGCUCUUUUCUGUAUAUCAUCAGUAACAUGCAACUUGUUGGAAAUAUUCUGAAACAAAUAUGCAUCAACAGGCAAUACAUAUUCGACAUGAGUCCUCUGCUUGAUGUGCAGCCUCCAUCAUGGCUACCUCUAUUUUCUUGGUUGUUGAAGAACCAUGCAGUUGUUUAUCUCUUCAAGUGUUUCACGAUGAAGUGCUCUAAGGUGACUUGAAUAUCUGAAGCAGAUGUUAGUUCAUCCAACACCUGUAAAUAGUCCUUCACCAACAUAAAAUCCAAUGUUAGUACACUAUCAGACUUCAAACUGUAGCAGAUCAAGGCCGAUAAACAGGACAAAUAAUUCAAACAAGUAUUUGAGGAAAAUGUGAAAAUUUAUAAUUGGAGUUGGAGAACUUUUUAAAAAAAAUAAUAAUAAUUGGAGCUAGGAGAACAGAAUUUUAAGUUGGAAGUUCAAUAGGUAGAAUUUAGGACUCUUGUCAUCAAGGGAUUGUACAUAGUAGAUAGCCAAAAUUGAAAUAAUAUAUUGGAUAUAGCCAGUGCUAGAGCAUGCUUUGAUUUCCCCGGCAAUAGUGAAUGGUAAAAUGCAUGUAGUGCAGCCUAAUGGAGCAUUCAAUUCAGUUUCUUUCUUCAUUAGUGAGCUAUCAGGAUAUGUGUAUAAGAAAUGUUUGUAAACUGAUAAGAGUUGUGUUGACUACUCGGUUAGGUUGGGAUAGGAAUUCUAUUUCUCCUGUAAGAAAAAAGAGCCGAUAACAGUAGGAAAUUUCCUUUAUGCAUCAUGCUUUAAGGCUCUGUGUGCCCAAUGUUCAUGGAGACAACAAGAAGUUGAUGUUCUGUUAUGGGCUAAUUAUGUGCCAAAAACUUUAUGAGUACAUCAAUCAGCUGUUAUGUUUAUUUCA